Molecule: ribosomal RNA, 373 nt
Filed under: uncultured organism
Description: partial 16S ribosomal RNA
Rfam family: Bacterial small subunit ribosomal RNA
Source: RNAcentral
GUAGGUGGCAAGCGUUGUCCGGAAUUAUUGGGCGUAAAGCGCGCGCAGGCGGUCCUUUAAGUCUGAUGUGAAAGCCCACGGCUCAACCGUGGAGGGUCAUUGGAAACUGGGGGACUUGAGAACAGAAGAGGAAAGCGGAAUUCCAAGUGUAGCGGUGAAAUGCGUAGAGAUUUGGAGGAACACCAGUGGCGAAGGCGGCUUUCUGGUCUGUAACUGACGCUGAGGCGCGAAAGCGUGGGGAGCAAACAGGGAUUAGAUACCCUGGUAGUCCACGCCGUAAACGAUGAGUGCUAAGUGUUAGGGGGUUUCCCGCCCCUUAGUGCUGCAGCUAACGCAUUAAGCACUCCGCCUGGGGAGUACGGCCGCAAGGCUG